GGACCUCAGAUCAGGCAAGACU
RNAcentral lists this ribosomal RNA (22 nucleotides) under Alobiella husnotii. Its description in RNAcentral is "Cephalozia husnotii partial 26S ribosomal RNA". The record is from RNAcentral. Lineage: Eukaryota; Viridiplantae; Streptophyta; Jungermanniopsida; Jungermanniales; Cephaloziaceae.